Prionailurus viverrinus (fishing cat) is the source of this 814-nucleotide RNA transcript. RefSeq lists it as uncharacterized. The record is from RefSeq and is a predicted model, not a curated record. The transcript is spliced from 4 exons. NCBI's taxonomy places the organism in Eukaryota, Metazoa, Chordata, Mammalia, Carnivora, Felidae.
GCCUCCCCAGGACGUGUCCCCAGCGGCUGGACGAGAGGCUGUGUGCUCGGGCCCCGACGCCAACUCGGAAACACUGCCGAGGAGCAGCAGCUGAAGACGCCUGAGCCCCGGGAGCCCCGGGCCUGCUUCCUGGGCCCUGCACUCCCAGGGCUGCACCCCAGCCUGGCCCACCUGCAUUGGGCGUCCUGUCACCUUGACGACCCCGGCCGGUGGAGUGGUGGAGAGGGUGUGGACUCUGCAGCCAGCUGGCUCUGAGCUGGGCAUGUCCCCGGAGCAGAGCUCCUUCAAACCCCUGCUCCGCCCCCAGCCGGCUGAGUAACCUCGGGCGACCAGAGACCCCACCCUGCCCCUGCCCCCCGGGUAUUGUGAGCAGCUGACUUCGUUUUCAGGACGCCCCGAGGAAGCAAAAGGCAGAAUGGAGGGCCUCCUGCCUGUCCGGGGGAAGCAGAGAGGCCUGGACGCGGCUGCAGAGGGGCAGGGCGGCAGGGCACAGGGCGAGGUCCUGAGCCCAGCAGGGCCCUGUCGCGGUGGACAUGCCCCCCCACCCCCAUCCCACCAGCAGGGCUGCACAACCGAGGAGACUCCAAGAGACAGCUCAGCAGAACCCCCCGCAGCCCUGCCAACGGACCCCACCGACACUGCGGCCGUGUCCCCCGCCAGGCUCUCAGGCCCUCAUCACUCUCCCCCAGCAUCCCCCCAACUUUCUAGCCCUGAUCCCUAAAGGGCAGAGGGAGGGGCUCUCUGAGCAGAAAUAGGCCGUAAGCAGUUUCCCUCCUCAGGAAGCAGCUAUUUCAUAAAUACGAUGGCGGGGGUG